This is a non-coding RNA of Pimephales promelas (fathead minnow), 889 nucleotides long. Lineage: Eukaryota; Metazoa; Chordata; Actinopteri; Cypriniformes; Leuciscidae. The record is from RefSeq and is a predicted model, not a curated record.
AUUGCUGUAGAUUCUACAGCAAAAUUCUACAGAAAUUUAUUGUUUUAUCAUUUUACAAGUUAUUACUGUAAUUCGCAAUGCAUUAUGGGUCAAAAGGAGUAUUACAGUUGUUUACUGUAUAUUUCCCUGUCAACUGUAAAUUGAUUUACAGGUAAGAGGUGUUUUCACUGUAGUUCAUACGUUUUACAACAAUUUACUGUGACGUGGCAUUAUGGGAUUGCGCGGGCUGAUUACAUUUGAAAUCUGGUGGACUGGAGCAGGGCAGGAUCGAGUUGAAGAUAAAAGGCACUAUUUACUCAAUUUUUGGCGAGGCAAUCGCGACGGCGCGCGCUCAGUGGUGAGGCGAUCUGAACUUACAAGCACAAGAUGUCAGCAACAGCAGCUGAAGUGGAAAAAAGUUCUACACUUUCAGACUCUCUGAGACUAAUUGUCUUAGGUGAAAUUCUCACUGCAACCCAGUGGAUGCUGAGUAUUGAGGGUCAAGUGGUUCUGAAUCAACACCCCAAUUUCAUGGCUGAAUUUGCUGCUUUGUUUGCAACUUACUACAACUUUAAUCUGGUGUACCAGCACGAGGCAUCCUGCACACUUGAAUUUGUUCAAAGAUGUUUACCAAGAACAUCAAUGAAAGUGGAAAGACCUCAGAGAAGAGGCACAACACAGUCAAUCCUACUCUUCUCAUUAGGCUACCCUGUGGACCUUGAGUGGUUAAGCAUGUGAGUUGUCAAAUGUAUAUAUAAAACAAAAAAAUGAGAUGUCUAUAAUUACACAAAAUGUAAAAAAGUACAAAAUGUAAGAUGUGAGUUAACAAUUUUGACAUUCUGUUGUUUGAGCUUAAAGGGAUAGUUCACUUUGAAAUUAAUUUUUGAUAUGUUUGAUCUUACCUCAAGGG